AUACGGAGGAUCCGAGCGUUAUCCGGAUUUAUUGGGUUUAAAGGGAGCGUAGGUGGAUUGUUAAGUCAGUUGUGAAAGUUUGCGGCUCAACCGUAAAAUUGCAGUUGAAACUGGCAGUCUUGAGUACAGUAGAGGUGGGCGGAAUUCGUGGUGUAGCGGUGAAAUGCUUAGAUAUCACGAAGAACUCCGAUUGCGAAGGCAGCUCACUGGACUGCAGCUGACACUGAUGCUCGAAAGUGUGGGUAUCAAACAGGAUUAGAUACCCUGGUAGUCCACACAGUAAACGAUGAAUACUCGCUGUUUGCGAUAUACAGUAAGCGGCCAAGCGAAAGCAUUAAGUAUUCCACCUGGGGAGUACGCCGGCAACGGUGAAACUCAAAUGAAUUGGCGGGG
This 393-nucleotide ribosomal RNA is filed under the name uncultured bacterium. RNAcentral's name for it is "partial 16S ribosomal RNA". It matches the Rfam family "Bacterial small subunit ribosomal RNA", at positions 523 to 918 of the family's 1533-position model. The record is from RNAcentral.